RNAcentral lists this ribosomal RNA (497 nucleotides) under uncultured bacterium. RNAcentral's name for it is "partial 16S ribosomal RNA". It matches the Rfam family "Bacterial small subunit ribosomal RNA", at positions 28 to 507 of the family's 1533-position model. The record is from RNAcentral.
GAUGAACGCUGGCGGCGUGCCUAAUACAUGCAAGUCGAGCGAACGGACGAGAAGCUUGCUUCUCUGAUGUUAGCGGCGGACGGGUGAGUAACACGUGGAUAACCUACCUAUAAGACUGGGAUAACUUCGGGAAACCGGAGCUAAUACCGGAUAAUAUUUUGAACCGCAUGGUUCAAAAGUGAAAGACGGUCUUGCUGUCACUUAUAGAUGGAUCCGCGCGGCAUUAGCUAGUUGGUAAGGUAACGGCUUACCAAGGCAACGAUGCGUAGCCGACCUGAGAGGGUGAUCGGCCACACUGGAACUGAGACACGGUCCAGACUCCUACGGGAGGCAGCAGUAGGGAAUCUUCCGCAAUGGGCGAAAGCCUGACGGAGCAACGCCGCGUGAGUGAUGAAGGUCUUCGGAUCGUAAAACUCUGUUAUUAGGGAAGAACAGAUGUGUAAGUAACUGUGCACGUCUUGACGGUACCUAAUCAGAAAGCCACGGCUAACUACGUG